AUAUAUAUGACAGAGAUCGUUUUUAUCUGGCCCUCCAACUUGUUUUUGAGGUUUAAAUAUUCUCGCAAUCUGAUAUUAAAGUGAUCUCUGUGCCAAAGCUUAGCGCGUUCAUCAGUGGUGAGUUUAACAACACUCAACUGCAGGUAAAACAGCAGUCAGCGGUGAGUUUGACCAAAGCAACACUCAACUGCAGGGAAAACGGCAUAAAAAGGUGAGUUUAACAACGCUCCAAGGCGCGUGCAAGUAAGCAGUUUAACCGUUUUCUUACACACCAUUCUCGCUUAUCGCUUAUUCAUAGUUCAUCAUCUCUAUGAAAUCACGUUCAAGAAGUCUCAUUCAGCACACAUCGCGAUACUUGCCAUCAGUUUCCAUGUGCCACAGGGUCGAUGUAAAGGAAGCAGUCAUCCCUGUGGUGUUUGUGGAGAGGUUUUCCUUCAGAAAUGGAGAAGACUGAAAGCUGCGGAGGCAGACAUUUGCAGCAGCCAAGUGUUCGAGUGAGCAUGGUGACCACAAGUGUGUGUCGAACUUUUCAUGACCUGAUGACAGUGGUUCCCGUUCCUGAUCCUGGAGAACCCCAGCACUGCACGGUUUUGCCGUCUCUCUUAUCUGACAAACACACUUUUGAGGUCUUGGAGUCUUCACUGAUGAGCUGAUGAGUUGAAUCAGGUGUGUUUGAUCAGGGAGACAUCUCAAAUGUGCAGUGUUGGGCUUCUCCAGGACCAGGAUUGGGAGCCACUGCCUUACGGGACACACUUAAGUGUUUACAGAGAUUUUUUUUUUUUUUUUUUGAUUAUUAUUCAACUUUGCAUUUUAAAAGAAAUUCUAAUUCUCUUUUCAUUAGUCCCUAUUACAGAGGACAAUUAAAUUUUUGGGGCUUCUAAUUAAGUGAAAAAAAAGCAGUUGCAAAUGAUGUACAAAAUAAAUAUACUUUUCUGUACACCAAGAAAACAUGCAACACUUUGUUUUACUUCCAAAUUAUUCUCAGUAUCUAAUUAUUAUUAUUAUUAUUAUUAAUAAUAAUAUUUCACAUACAUUGGAAAGGUUUCCGUGAGCAGAUCAAUUACACUACUGAUAACAUUCCUUUAAGCAUGUAAUAUAUUUUUUUAUAAUUCAUAUGAAUAUAGCUUGCUAUU
This is a long non-coding RNA of Carassius gibelio (silver crucian carp), 1133 nucleotides long. RefSeq lists it as uncharacterized. Lineage: Eukaryota; Metazoa; Chordata; Actinopteri; Cypriniformes; Cyprinidae. The transcript has 3 exons. The record is from RefSeq and is a predicted model, not a curated record.